Molecule: long non-coding RNA, 1697 nt
Organism: Cyanistes caeruleus (blue tit)
Lineage: Eukaryota; Metazoa; Chordata; Aves; Passeriformes; Paridae
Source: Ensembl
GCAAGUGGCCCCUGCUGGAUACAAACUCUGUUCACAUCAGGAUGCUCCUGCCCGGGAGAAUGAAAUACCCUACAUCAGCAGGAGGGAAAUGUACACCAUGGAGAGAGAGGAGAAGAUGUGUCCUUUUAUUUCCAGCAAAAUGGUGCUGCUUUGAUUCGUUUCAGCAACCAGAAGUUAUGGAGGUGAAGAGCUAAGAGAUGACAACUUGAAAUUUGACAAGACCUGAGUUCAGCUCCUGAUGCCAAAACAGCCUGCACCACCCUUCUACCACACAGUUGAAGAGACAAAAGGCAGACAGGAGAGGUGAGGACUGACCAAAGGUAGAGCGUUUUCUCCUUGCAAGGUACUUGAGGGAGCACUUGAAGUGGAGCACCCCACGAAUCGUGGGAGCUGCUGGGCAGAGCAGCUCAGCUGUGUGCUCAGGGCACUGUGCACUCAUGUGUCCAGUACAAGAGCAGAAGCAUUUCCCCAUCCAGACAACUAUCACCUGAUGAAUUUUCAGAUUUUAUGCUUUUUCUUUCUAAGAAUGUAGUAAAGUAGACCUUGGGCAGAACAUUAACUGCCCCCCCAGCUUGUUAAUAUGUGAAUGGUUACACCAUGUUUAAACACCAAAAUUUACACUCAUUUUUGGCUUCAAAUGACAAUUUAAAAGCAGGAAGAGGGUGUGCUAUGCGGCAAUUGUACUGAAAACUGUGGUUUAUUCAUAGAAUAUUGGGAAAAGCAGCUCAUGUCCCAGCUGAUUUUCCUUCCUGUAUUCACAUUUGAAUGCUACAGUAAAAGCUUUCCAGGUCGUAGGAUUUUGACUUUGUGUCAAGAAGAGUGGCAGAUAUGAUCUCCAUUAAAUGCAACCUACUUAAGGUAUGAUAAGGCCAUAUCAGUGGUUUCACUUUAGCAUCUGCAAGUCUUUAAUUCUAGGUGACUUUUUCACUGUAGGAAAAGGAGUCUGGUUUCUCAGCUGAUAACCCAAAAACUAAUAGGUUUUCUUUUGUUUGGGUUUAUUUUUGGGCAGGGGUUGCCUUCAAGCAAUCUUGAUAUAUCUCUGGAACACCCACAGAUGUUGAGAAGUCACCAGCCAAAAUAGCUCUUUGAUGUUUUAGAUGUGUUUUCUCUUAACCAGGAUUCAUGACCCCAGCUAGAGACACAGAGGACGCAGAUCUCCGAGUUUUUGGAGGGUGAAUAUAAUUAUAUGUGUUCAUGUUUUAAUGCCUUCCAAAACAUGUGUGAGAUAGGACAUCUAUUUUAGCACCUAGCUGUGGAUCCAGCUGCUUUAGAGCAUUUUUACCAGCUGCUGUUUGUUCAUAGCUAUGCAGUGUUAAUUAACCUGUCUUACCCUUUUAUCCAACCUCCUCCUCUUUUGUUUCUAGACAUACAAGCUAUGAUCCUACCUACACCCGGAGGAGUCAAAGCUCACGGAAAAGGAGACUGAAUUGUUUGAAUCUCUGGAUUUCUUGUUCUGCCUGUACAUUAAAAUCCCCAGAGAUUACUGAGCCCUGUUUCUGACCCUGUUACACAGAGCUGGUGCCUUGCUUCAACCAUGUUGUGAGGGCAGAAGAAACUGCAAACUCAGGCUUGGAUUGUUUGCAAACUGAUGCAAAAACCCUCUCAGUGGUGACCUGUUACCUGUAGUCUCUCACAGCUCCUCUGUGGCUGGCUCAGACCUCUUCUAAAUAAAGGUUUUACCAAAAUAAGCUAUUGCA